Molecule: transfer RNA, 73 nt
Filed under: Canis lupus familiaris (dog)
Lineage: Eukaryota; Metazoa; Chordata; Mammalia; Carnivora; Canidae
Also listed under: 2 other names
Rfam family: tRNA
About the family: Transfer RNA (tRNA) molecules are approximately 80 nucleotides in length.
Source: Rfam by way of RNAcentral
GCCUGGCUGGCUCAGUCGGUAGAGCAUGUGACUCUUGAUCUCAGGGUCGUGAGUUUGAGCCCCAUGUUGGGUG